ACGCUGGCUACAGGCUUAACACAUGCAAGUCGUGGGGAAACGGCAUUAUGUGCUUGCACAUUCUGGACGUCGACCGGCGCACGGGUGAGUAUCGCGUAUCCAACCUGCCCCUUACUUGGGGAUACCCCGUUGAAAGACGGCCUAAUACCCGAUGUGUUUCAUUGACGGCAUCCGAUAUGAAACAAAGGUUUUCCGGUAAGGGAUGGGGAUGCGUCUGAUUAGCUUGUUGGCGGGGCAACGGCCCACCAAGGCGACGAUCAGUAGGGGUUCUGAGAGGAAGGUCCCCCACAUUGGAACUGAGACACGGUCCAAACUCCUACGGGAGGCAGCAGUGAGGAAUAUUGGUCAAUGGACGCAAGUCUGAACCAGCCAAGUAGCGUGCAGGAUGACGGCCCUAUGGGUUGUAAACUGCUUUUAUGUGGGAAUAAAGUGGCGCACGUGUGCGCCAUUGCAUGUACCUCAUGAAUAAGGACCGGCUAAUUCCGUGCCAGCAGCCGCGGUAAUACGGAAGGUCCGGGCGUUAUCCGGAUUUAUUGGGUUUAAAGGGAGUGUAGGCGGUCUGUUAAGCGUGUUGUGAAAUUUAGGUGCUCAACAUUUAACUUGCAGCGCGAACUGUCAGACUUGAGUACACGCAGCGCAGGCGGAAUUCAUGGUGUAGCGGUGAAAUGCUUAGAUAUCAUGAGGAACUCCGAUCGCGAAGGCAGCCUGCGGGAGUGUUACUGACGCUUAAGCUCGAAGGUGCGGGUAUCGAACAGGAUUAGAUACCCUGGUAGUCCGCACAGUAAACGAUGGAUGCCCGCCGUUGGCGCCCUGCGCCUGCGGCCAAGCGAAAGCAUUAAGCAUCCCACCUGGGGAGUACGCCGGCAACGGUGAAACUCAAAGGAAUUGACGGGGGCCCGCACAAGCGGAGGAACAUGUGGUUU
RNAcentral lists this ribosomal RNA (923 nucleotides) under uncultured bacterium. Its description in RNAcentral is "bacterial SSU rRNA". It matches the Rfam family "Bacterial small subunit ribosomal RNA", at positions 33 to 947 of the family's 1533-position model. The record is from RNAcentral.